UACCAGCACCCCCGAGUGGUCGGGACGAUUAUUGGGCCUAAAGCAUCCGUAGCCGGUUUUACAAGUCCUCCGUUAAAUCCAACUGCUUAACAGAUGGGCUGCGGAGGAUACUAUAAGACUAGGAGGCAGGAGAGGCAAGCGGUACUCAGUGGGUAGGGGUAAAAUCCGUUGAUCCAUUGAAGACCACCAGUGGCGAAGGCGGCUUGCCAGAAUGCGCUCGACGGUGAGGGAUGAAAGCUGGGGGAGCAAACCGG
RNAcentral lists this ribosomal RNA (254 nucleotides) under uncultured bacterium. RNAcentral describes it as "partial 16S ribosomal RNA". It matches the Rfam family "Archaeal small subunit ribosomal RNA", at positions 474 to 727 of the family's 1478-position model. The record is from RNAcentral.